This 540-nucleotide ribosomal RNA is filed under the name uncultured bacterium. RNAcentral's name for it is "bacterial SSU rRNA". It matches the Rfam family "Bacterial small subunit ribosomal RNA", at positions 355 to 896 of the family's 1533-position model. The record is from RNAcentral.
UAGGGAAUAUUGGUCAAUGGAGGAGACUCUGAACCAGCCAUGCCGCGUGCAGGAAGACGGCCUUAUGGGUUGUAAACUGCUUUUGAUAGGGAAGAAAACGGCCAUGCGUGGCUAAUUGACGGUACCUAUAGAAUAAGCACCGGCUAACUCCGUGCCAGCAGCCGCGGUAAUACGGAGGGUGCAAGCGUUGUCCGGAUUUAUUGGGUUUAAAGGGUGCGUAGGUGGCUUUUUAAGUCAGUGGUGAAAUUCUGCAGCUUAACUGUAGAACUGCCAUUGAUACUGGAGAGCUUGAGUAUUGUUGAGGCAGGCGGAAUUUAUGAUGUAGCGGUGAAAUGCAUAGAUAUCAUAAAGAACACCGAUAGCGAAGGCAGCUUGCUAAACGAUAACUGACACUAAUGCACGAAAGCGUGGGUAGCGAACAGGAUUAGAUACCCUGGUAGUCCACGCCGUAAACGAUGUUAACUCGAUGUAUGCGAUAUACUGUAUGCGUCCAAGCGAAAGCGUUAAGUUAACCACCUGGGGAGUACGCUCGCAAGAGUG